This 71-nucleotide transfer RNA is filed under the name Candidatus Saccharimonadota bacterium. Its description in RNAcentral is "tRNA-Thr". It matches the Rfam family "tRNA". Rfam says of the family: Transfer RNA (tRNA) molecules are approximately 80 nucleotides in length. Their secondary structure includes four short double-helical elements and three loops (D, anti-codon, and T loops). The record is from RNAcentral. Lineage: Bacteria; Candidatus Saccharimonadota.
GCCUCUAUAGCUCAAUGGUAGAGCGUCUGAUUCGUAAUCAGUUGAUAUCGGUUCGAUUCCGGUUAGGGGCU